This is a long non-coding RNA of Arvicanthis niloticus (Nile rat), 626 nucleotides long. RefSeq lists it as uncharacterized. The record is from RefSeq and is a predicted model, not a curated record. Lineage: Eukaryota; Metazoa; Chordata; Mammalia; Rodentia; Muridae.
CACUACACAACAUUACACAGCACGAAUGUAGCAGGCCCAGCACUGCAGGCACAGCGCUACCGAAGGAUGGUCAAGAGAGGUUUGCCUUCAGUGGUUGUGCAGUGCACGGCCAGGUACCACCGCCUAGACUGGUAACUCGCCUCUGCCUUCUCUUUAUCGCCUGUCUCUCCUACCCAUCUCCUGCACCAAUCCAUCAGCCCAUCUUAAUUUUCAUGCAUUCCUAAGUUUAGAACACGGCUUGAUUUUGCUCCCUGGUGUGUGUUCCAAAUAAGCUCAAGCUAUGACUGGACAAAGAAACGGCUUAGAGAAGACUGCACUCUUGACUCUGGACUUCACUUCACAGAUGCAGACCUGAAGGGUACUGCAGCCCUACCAGCAAGGAGCAUCCAGCAGCUGGCCCCACAUCAUGUACCCAUGAGGACCGUCUAGCAACUGGCCCUGCAUCACCCUUAGAGUGGACUUGGGGCUGGCUUGAGCCCAGCGUGACCAGCUUUCAUCUGUGGAGCUGAGAAAAAGGUCAAAGAACAACCAAUUAAAAGAAUUCCUCCUGCUGCUACAGAAAUACAAUAAUGACUUUAAAAGAUUUUCUUCUUUUAAUUAAAUGCCAGCUACCUUUGCUGAUUUCA